RNAcentral lists this transfer RNA (89 nucleotides) under Felis catus (domestic cat). It matches the Rfam family "tRNA". From Rfam's summary of the family: Transfer RNA (tRNA) molecules are approximately 80 nucleotides in length. Their secondary structure includes four short double-helical elements and three loops (D, anti-codon, and T loops). The record is from Rfam by way of RNAcentral. Lineage: Eukaryota; Metazoa; Chordata; Mammalia; Carnivora; Felidae.
GCCUGAGUGGCUCAGUAGGUUGAGUGUCUGACUUCGGCUCAGGUCAUGAUCUCACUCACAGUCUGUGAGUUUGAGCCCCUCAUCGGGCU